This is a long non-coding RNA of Cryptomeria japonica (Japanese cedar), 2099 nucleotides long. RefSeq lists it as uncharacterized. The transcript has 3 exons. The record is from RefSeq and is a predicted model, not a curated record. Lineage: Eukaryota; Viridiplantae; Streptophyta; Pinopsida; Cupressales; Cupressaceae.
ACUCCUUACCAUUGUGGAUAAAUAUGUGGCAUCUGCUAUAGAGGGCUCUGUGUUUCAAAAAAGUGUAUGUUAUUAGAUCUCUAAGUUAUAACCAAGCACUGGAUUACUUCGGCAAAAGGUUGCUGGAUGAGAAGACUCAUACAUUUGUAUUGAGGAGCAUAAUAAAGAUAUGUGAGGGGUAUAAAAUGCAUAUGAGGAUAGUCGGGGACUAUUUGAUGAAGUACUUCAUGGAUGAUGAGGCUUUCGGGAGGUUAACAGAAUGGAUUAAAACUGAGAAACCCAAUUUUCAUAAACUCAAGGACUAUCUGACUUGUGAAGAACAGUUCAUCCACCAGUCAGCUAUCAUAAAGGAGGCUCUUCUAGACAUUUGUUCCUUCUUCUGUGGGUGGAAAUGGAAUCAAAUAGCCUGCAUACUGGACAAGGAUGUACUUGAAAAGCUGAAGGAGUUGGAGGUGAAGAGAGAGUCAAACAGAGUAUGUGUGCCAGAUAAAGUCAUGACCUAUUGUCUUUCUCGGGGAAAAGGAACUUGAAUAACUAGUGCCACUAAUCUGCGUGCUGUGCUAGCAGAAGACAAGGCCCUGAAGUUGCAUGCAAUAAAAGGAAUCUGGCUGGUACAAAACAAGUGCCCAAUCCUUAUAUCUUCACAACAGCUGGAUAAAAUGCCAAAUUUAAGAGUCCUUGCAUUAGGAGACUGGACAAUAGUGGAAGGCGACUGCAAAGAGAAUUUUACCCAUCUCAGAUAUUUUCAAGCGGGAAGAGUUGGGCAACUACCCUUCAAAAUCAGCAACUUAGACAACAUAAGGUUCUUGGACAAUAACUCUGAGCACAACAUGGGGAUGAGCACGCUAAAGGUUCCCCCAACACUCAGAAUGGUGAGAUCUAAGGGAUCAGAAUUUGAGCACAAACUAAAAUCAGACAAUCCAGAAUUUGAACACAAACUAAAAUUGGACAAUCUGCCCAAGGAAUGUAAAGUCACAGAGUUGGACAUAGGAGGUAAUAAUUUGGAGACGUUACAGACACUUUCUGUGAAUUGGAUGCUCUACAGAAGAUGAGUUUGAAUAAAUGCAAAAGACUGCGGAGUUUGCCAAUAUCCUUCAGGAAACUCCGAUCUUUGAAGAUGUUGGAUCCUAAGCUACUGUUCAAAUUUGAGUAAAUUGCCUUCAAAUUUUGGCUGGUUGAGCACUCUUGAGAAGGUUAACCUUCCUACUGUAGAAAGUUAAAGAAACUCCCUAAAUUAUGGGUUUGCUAAGCUCUGUGAAGGAAAUUGAUUUGUCAUAUUGCAAGCGCUUCAAGAAACUUCCCAAAAGCUUGGUGAAACUAACCACAUUGCAUGUGUUGAAUUUGGAAGCCUGUACUCAUCUGAUUGAAUUGUCAGAAGGAUUUGAAGACUUGGCUCUCAAGGGGAUCUGCCUGGAGUCAUGCGAGAGACUAAAAGCUCUCCCUGGAAAGAAUGGAGAAAUAAUGUUGCUGCAGAAGAAGGUGUCCCUGAGUUGGUGUUUAAGUGUACAAGAAUUAUCAAAAGGAUUCAUCACUUUCAUCAAUGCUCAUGUGGAAGAACUCAUUUUAGUGGAUUGCAUUAGUUUGAAGUCACUUCCAGAGGAUUUUCCAAUGGAAUUGAGUGGUCUAAACAGCCUCAACUUGAGCGGUUGUAGAGGCCUAGUGUGCCUCCCCAAACGUUUCCACAAGCUUGAACAUCUGGAAAAAUUGAAUUUAAGCUCAUGUGAAAAUCUAGAGGAGCCCUCUACUAGAUUGAGCCAUUUGCCAUCAUUAAUAGAGGUGAAUCUGUCUAAUUGUGAAGGACUCAAGGGACACUGGCUGACAAGUUUGAGUAAGAUACAGAGCCUGACUUUGGUAGACAUUCAUGACAGCCUACAACUAGUGGAUGCAUGGAGUCAGAUGAUGAAAGAGAAUAAAAUUUACCACUUCACAGUGGCCACAAGCCGACCUGCUAUGAUAGCUUGCCUUUUACCCCAUUCACUUUCGUCGGAAAGUUUUCUUACUCAAGAUACAAAAGGCAAUGUACAAUACAUUCUCUUAUUAUUUUUUUCAUCUCCAUACUGUUCAGGGAAAGAAAACCAUUCUUUCUCAGUACAAACAUA